RNAcentral lists this ribosomal RNA (431 nucleotides) under uncultured bacterium. RNAcentral describes it as "partial 16S ribosomal RNA". It matches the Rfam family "Bacterial small subunit ribosomal RNA", at positions 29 to 507 of the family's 1533-position model. The record is from RNAcentral.
AACGAACGCUGGCGGCAGGCUUAACACAUGCAAGUCGAGCGCCCCGCAAGGGGAGCGGCAGACGGGUGAGUAACGCGUGGGAACGUACCUUUCGGUUCGGAACAACUCCGGGAAACUGGAGCUAAUACCGGAUAAGCCCUAACGGGGAAAGAUUUAUCGCCGAAAGAUCGGCCCGCGUCUGAUUAGCUAGUUGGUGAGGUAACGGCUCACCAAGGCGACGAUCAGUAGCUGGUCUGAGAGGAUGAUCAGCCACACUAGGACUGAGACACGGCCCAGACUCCUACGGGAGGCAGCAGUGGGGAAUAUUGGACAAUGGGCGCAAGCCUGAUCCAGCCAUGCCGCGUGAGUGAUGAAGGCCUUAGGGUUGUAAAGCUCUUUUGUCCGGGAAGAUAAUGACUGUACCGGAAGAAUAAGCCCCGGCUAACUUCGUG